AAGUCCUUCUGUUGAGAGCUCCGGCCUCUGCCCUGGCUUUCUCAAGGGCCAUGACUGUGCUACCAGAGCAGCUGCCCCAAGGCUAAUCUCUCACCCAGACCAGGUGGUGCAUAACAGCUCCUGUCCACAUGGCUCAGAGGUCCUUGUCCUGUAACUAUGGGCUGAGGUAGCACAGUGCUGGAGAAGCUGUGACCCGUCUGCACACUGAUCAGAAAGCAGACAUAUGCAAGGUGAUUGUCCAGCCAGGUUUUGGGGCUCUCGCACUGAAACUUAUCUUUGGAUCUCCUUUCUCCAAUUUGGGUUUGUGUAUUCACAAUGAAUAUCACCAGAGCAUCCAGGAGAAAUCAAUACGUCCCCAGUACCAAUGGGCCCAGAAGCUUUUUGUGUAGGUAACAAUGAAGUGCUACACGUCAUUUACCACUUUAGCUCCACUUACACCUUCAAUAUUUAAAUCACCUGAGGUGAGUUGACUCAUGAUAAUGCAUAUAAAGCAAAGCCAUUUAGAUUCAUGUGAAGAUUUGGGAUCAGUUACAUGCCUCUGAAGUCAGCAGGGUCCAAAAUCUGACACAGUGCAUAUCCAGAGGAACACCCUCCAGAGACCUUUUGUGUUUGCACUUUUUCUGUGGACAAAGCUGGCAAUUUAUGCUUAUUUUUUGAUAUUGGACAUUAAAGCUAGUGCAUUGCCUGGAUCAAAAUCUUUGUGCCAGAGAGGAUUUUAAU
RNAcentral lists this long non-coding RNA (720 nucleotides) under Parus major (Great Tit). Its description in RNAcentral is "lncRNA (ENSPMJG00000012838.1)". Lineage: Eukaryota; Metazoa; Chordata; Aves; Passeriformes; Paridae. The record is from RNAcentral.